RNAcentral lists this ribosomal RNA (853 nucleotides) under Caucasocressa joannis. RNAcentral's name for it is "partial 16S ribosomal RNA". Lineage: Eukaryota; Metazoa; Mollusca; Gastropoda; Stylommatophora; Hygromiidae. The record is from RNAcentral.
AUAAUCCAUAAUGACAUAGAAUUUUUUUUUCACGAAACCAUAUGAGCUAAAUUUUUACUCUAUAUUAGAAGAUAUAUUUUUACUGUAGCAGUAGUAUUGUAAUAUAAAAAUUUAGGGGUGAUAGGCCUAUCAAGUUUGGUGAUAUCUUGAUAGCUAAGAAAUAUAUGUAGUAUUAAAACAUACUAAAAAUGGUGAGGUUUUUAGUUCACAUUAUUUAUAUUUUUAUUACUGUUGUAUUUUUAAUCAAAUCAACUUAUUAUACUACAAUAUUAAAUAUAAGUUAAAUAUGAAAAUUAUUAUGCUUAUAAAACUUAAUACUACUAUUAUAUUAAAUAUGAUUAUAUUAGUAUUAAACGUAAAAUCUUUUAAGGAACUCGGCAACCAUAUUUCUCGACUGUUUAUCAAAAACAUGCCUAAUGAACUGAUUUUAGGUUUCCUCUGCUCAAUGAUUUAUUAAAUAGCCGCAGUACCCUGACUGUGCAAAGGUAGCAUAAUCAAUUGGCUUAUAAUUGAAGUCUGGAAUGAAGGAGAAUUCGGGAAUAAGCUGUCUUAAUUAAAUAUAUAAAAAUUACUAAAUAAGUGAAAAUACUUAUAGGUUAGAAAAAAGACGAGAAGACCCUAGAAAUUUUUUUAAUAUUAAAACUUUAAUUUUGUUGGGGCGACAUGGUAACACUUAACUUACCACAAUUUAUAUGAAACUAAUUAGUUGUAUAAUUAAAUUACUCUAGGGAUAACAGCAUAAUUCAUAAGAGUUUGUGACCUCGAUGUUGGACUAGGAUACAUUUUACUUAAAAGGUAAAAUGAUCAGCUCUGUUCGAGCUAUAAGUUCCUACAUGAUCUGAGUUCAGACCGG